UACGAGGGGGGCUAGUGUUGUUCGGAAUCACUGGGCGUAAAGGGAGCGUAGGCGGGUGUCUAAGUUGGGUGUUUAAUUCCGGGGCCCAACCCCGGGCGUGCACUCAAAACUGGGCAUCUUGAAUAGGGGAGAGGUCGGUGGAAUUGGAGGUGUAGCGGUGGAAUGCGUAGAGAUCUCCAAGAACACCAGUUGCGAAGGCGGCCGACUGGACCCAUAUUGACGCUGAGGCUCGAAAGCGUGGGGAGCAAACAGG
This 253-nucleotide ribosomal RNA is filed under the name uncultured bacterium. RNAcentral describes it as "partial 16S ribosomal RNA". It matches the Rfam family "Bacterial small subunit ribosomal RNA", at positions 524 to 776 of the family's 1533-position model. The record is from RNAcentral.